This 512-nucleotide ribosomal RNA is filed under the name Monochamus sp. IBE JGZ-3882. RNAcentral's name for it is "partial large subunit ribosomal RNA". It matches the Rfam family "Bacterial large subunit ribosomal RNA", at positions 1825 to 2603 of the family's 2925-position model. The record is from RNAcentral. Lineage: Eukaryota; Metazoa; Arthropoda; Insecta; Coleoptera; Cerambycidae.
GGCUUUUUGAAAAUAAUUUAAAGUUUGGCCUGCCCACUGAAUUUUUAAAGGGCCGCGGUAAUUUGACCGUGCUAAGGUAGCAUAAUCAUUAGUUUUUUAAUUGAAAGCUGGUAUGAAUGGUCGGAUGAGAAAAUAACUGUCUCUAUUUAAUUUUUAUUGAAUUUUAUUUUUAAGUAAAAAAGCUUAAAUUUAAUUAAAAGACGAGAAGACCCUAUAGAGUUUUAUAAAAUUUAAAUUUUAAAUUUUUAGAAUUAUUAUUUUGUAUUUUAAAUUUUAUUUGAUUGGGGCGAUUGAAAAAUUUAAUAAACUUUUUUUUUAUAAAAACAUUAAUGUAUGAAUUUUUGAUCCAUAAAUAAUGAUUAUAAGAUUAAAUUACCUUAGGGAUAACAGCGUAAUUUUUUUUGAGAGUUCAAAUCGAAAAAAAAGUUUGCGACCUCGAUGUUGGAUUAAAAUUAAUUUUUGGUGUAGAGGCUAAAAAAUUAGGUCUGUUCGACCUUUAAAAUUUUACAUGA